Molecule: ribosomal RNA, 364 nt
Filed under: uncultured Helicobacteraceae bacterium
Lineage: Bacteria; Pseudomonadati; Campylobacterota; Epsilonproteobacteria; Campylobacterales; Helicobacteraceae
Description: bacterial SSU rRNA
Rfam family: Bacterial small subunit ribosomal RNA
Source: RNAcentral
GCUAGACCUAAACACAGGUGCUGCGAUGGCCGUCGUCAGCUCGUGUCGUGAGAUGUUGGGUUAAGUCCCGCAACGAGCGCAACCCUCGUCCUUAGUUGCCAGCGGUUCGGCCGGGGAACUCUAAGGAGACUGCCUGCGUAAGCGGGAGGAAGGUGGGGAUGAUGUCAGGUCACUCACCGGCCCUUAUGCCUUGGGCAACACACGUGCUACAAUGGGAUAUACAGAAAGCUGCAAUACCGCGAGGUGGAGCCAAUCUCUAAAAUAUCUCUCAGUUCGGAUUGUAGUCUGCAACUCGACUACAUGAAGUCGGAAUCGCUAGUAAUCGUAGAUCAGCUAUGCUACGGUGAAUACGUUCCCGGGUCUU